This 160-nucleotide ribosomal RNA is filed under the name uncultured bacterium. Its description in RNAcentral is "partial 16S ribosomal RNA". It matches the Rfam family "Bacterial small subunit ribosomal RNA", at positions 355 to 507 of the family's 1533-position model. The record is from RNAcentral. RNAcentral also lists the same sequence under 4 other names.
UGGGGAAUAUUGCACAAUGGGCGCAAGCCUGAUGCAGCCAUGCCGCGUGUAUGAAGAAGGCCUUCGGGUUGUAAAGUACUUUCAGCGGGGAGGAAGGGAGUAAAGUUAAUACCUUUGCUCAUUGACGUUACCCGCAGAAGAAGCACCGGCUAACUCCGUG